CAGUCGUACCUUCGGGUAAUCAGCCUUUCGGGUGCGAUUAUGUGGAUUGUGAGGAGUUUAAUCACCCUCAUUGUUUUACGUAUUCGUGCUCUUGGGUGUACUUGCCCGUGUGGUAGGUUAACAUCAAUUUUGGUCGCCAUAAAAUGACUGGA
Molecule: ribosomal RNA, 152 nt
Filed under: Glomus sp. (unid)
Lineage: Eukaryota; Fungi; Glomeromycota; Glomeromycetes; Glomerales; Glomeraceae
Source: RNAcentral